RNAcentral lists this ribosomal RNA (619 nucleotides) under uncultured Alphaproteobacteria bacterium. RNAcentral's name for it is "bacterial SSU rRNA". It matches the Rfam family "Bacterial small subunit ribosomal RNA", at positions 84 to 738 of the family's 1533-position model. Lineage: Bacteria; Pseudomonadati; Pseudomonadota; Alphaproteobacteria. The record is from RNAcentral.
CUUCGGGGAUAGUGGCGCACGGGUGCGUAACGCGUGGGAAUCUGCCCUUGGGUUCGGAAUAACUUCUGGAAACGGAAGCUAAUACCGGAUGAUGACGUAAGUCCAAAGAUUUAUCGCCCAAGGAUGAGCCCGCGUAGGAUUAGCUAGUUGGUGAGGUAAAGGCUCACCAAGGCGACGAUCCUUAGCUGGUCUGAGAGGAUGAUCAGCCACACUGGGACUGAGACACGGCCCAGACUCCUACGGGAGGCAGCAGUAGGGAAUAUUGGACAAUGGGGGAAACCCUGAUCCAGCAAUGCCGCGUGAGUGAUGAAGGCCUUAGGGUUGUAAAGCUCUUUUACCCGGGAUGAUAAUGACAGUACCGGGAGAAUAAGCUCCGGCUAACUCCGUGCCAGCAGCCGCGGUAAUACGGAGGGAGCUAGCGUUGUUCGGAAUUACUGGGCGUAAAGCGCACGUAGGCGGCUAUUCAAGUCAGAGGUGAAAGCCCGGGGCUCAACCCCGGAACUGCCUUUGAAACUAGAUAGCUUGAAUCCAGGAGAGGUGAGUGGAAUUCCGAGUGUAGAGGUGAAAUUCGUAGAUAUUCGGAAGAACACCAGUGGCGAAGGCGGCUCACUGGACUGGU